UACGAAGGGUGCAAGCGUUGUUCGGAUUUACUGGGCGUAAAGCGCGCGCAGGCGGAUUGAUAAGUCAGAUGUGAAAUCUCGGGGCUCAACCCCGAAACUGCGUCUGAAACUGUUGAUCUAGAGUUAUGUAGGGGAGAAGGGAAUUUCGCAUGUAGGGGUAAAAUCCGUAGAGAUGCGAAGGAACACCAGAGCCGAAGGGGCUUCUCUGGGCAUACACUGACGCUGAGGCGCGAAAGCGUGGGUAGCAAACAGG
This 253-nucleotide ribosomal RNA is filed under the name uncultured bacterium. RNAcentral's name for it is "partial 16S ribosomal RNA". It matches the Rfam family "Bacterial small subunit ribosomal RNA", at positions 524 to 776 of the family's 1533-position model. The record is from RNAcentral.